Molecule: ribosomal RNA, 253 nt
Filed under: uncultured bacterium
Lineage: Bacteria
Description: partial 16S ribosomal RNA
Rfam family: Bacterial small subunit ribosomal RNA
Source: RNAcentral
GACGUAGGAGACGAGCGUUGUCCGGAUUUACUGGGCGUAAAGCGCGCGCAGGCGGCCCCGCAGGUCGGUUGUAAAAGCCCCCGGCUCAACCGGGCGGAGGCGAGCGAAACCGCGGGGCUGGAGGCUGGCAGAGGGUAGUGGAAUUCCCGGUGUAGUGGUGAAAUGCGUAGAGAUCGGGAGGAACACCCGCGGCGAAGGCGGCCACCUGGACCAGACCUGACGCUGAGGCGCGAAGGCCGGGGGAGCGAACGGG